GUGGGGAAUAUUGGACAAUGGGCGCAAGCCUGAUCCAGCCAUGCCGCGUGUGUGAAGAAGGCCUUAGGGUUGUAAAGCACUUUCAGUGGGGAGGAAGGGUGUUGUGUUAAUAGUACAGCACUUUGACGUUACCCAUAGAAGAAGCACCGGCUAACUCCGUGCCAGCAGCCGCGGUAAUACGGAGGGUGCAAGCGUUAAUCGGAAUUACUGGGCGUAAAGCGCACGCAGGCGGUCUUGCGUGUCAGAUGUGAAAUCUCCGGGCUCAACCCGGAAAGUGCGUCUGAAACUACAGGACUCGAGUCUGGGAGAGGGAAUCGGAAUAUAGGGUGUAGCGGUGAAAUGCGUUGAUAUCCUAUAGAACACCGGAGGCGAAGGCGGAUUCCUUGAACAGCACUGACGCUGAGGCGCGAAAGUCGGGGGAGCAAACAGGAUUAGAAACCCCUGUAGUCC
This 450-nucleotide ribosomal RNA is filed under the name uncultured bacterium. RNAcentral's name for it is "bacterial SSU rRNA". It matches the Rfam family "Bacterial small subunit ribosomal RNA", at positions 354 to 796 of the family's 1533-position model. The record is from RNAcentral.